CGGUAAGUGGGGCGAACCUAGCCCUCGUACUGGGGAAUAAUCAUUGGAAACGAAUGACUAAUACCGCAUGUGGUCCUCGGAAGGCAUCUUCUGAGGAAGAAAGGAUUUAUUCGGUACAGGAUGGGCCCGCAUCUGAUUAGCUAGUUGGUGAGAUAACAGCCCACCAAGGCGACGAUCAGUAGCCGACCUGAGAGGGUGAUCGGCCACAUUGGGACUGAGACACGGCCCAA
RNAcentral lists this ribosomal RNA (230 nucleotides) under uncultured bacterium. Its description in RNAcentral is "partial 16S ribosomal RNA". It matches the Rfam family "Bacterial small subunit ribosomal RNA", at positions 109 to 334 of the family's 1533-position model. The record is from RNAcentral.